AUUGAACGCUGGCGGCAGGCUUAACACAUGCAAGUCGAGCGGGGGAAGGUAGCUUGCUACCGGACCUAGCGGCGGACGGGUGAGUAAUGCUUAGGAAUCUGCCUAUUAGUGGGGGACAACAUCUCGAAGGGAUGCUAAUACCGCAUACGUCCUACGGGAGAAAGCAGGGGAUCUUCGGACCUUGCGCUAAUAGAUGAGCCUAAGUCGGAUUAGCUAGUUGGUGGGGUAAAGGCCUACCAAGGCGACGAUCUGUAGCGGGUCUGAGAGGAUGAUCCGCCACACUGGGACUGAGACACGGCCCAGACUCCUACGGGAGGCAGCAGUGGGGAAUAUUGGACAAUGGGGAACCCUGAUCCAGCCAUGCCGCGUGUGUGAAGAAGGCCUUAUGGUUGUAAAGCACUUUAAGCGAGGAGGAGGCUACUCUAGUUAAUACCUAGGGAUAGUGGACGUUACUCGCAGAAUAAGCACCGGCUAACUCUGUGCCAGCCGCCGCUGUAA
Molecule: ribosomal RNA, 498 nt
Filed under: uncultured bacterium
Lineage: Bacteria
Description: partial 16S ribosomal RNA
Rfam family: Bacterial small subunit ribosomal RNA
Source: RNAcentral